RNAcentral lists this long non-coding RNA (226 nucleotides) under Elaeis guineensis (African oil palm). RNAcentral describes it as "long non-coding RNA (EGUI_LNC058873)". Lineage: Eukaryota; Viridiplantae; Streptophyta; Magnoliopsida; Arecales; Arecaceae. The record is from RNAcentral.
GUCAGGAAUAUUUCUAAAGAGAUUAAUAUGAUUUCUAAGGGUUUUAAGACUCGUUUUCCUACCAAAAAAUUAUAAAAAAUUUAUCUAUAAAUAGAAGAUCCAGGAAUAAGCUUUGUAAGUAGAAAAAUUAAGUAGAAAGUGUAAAAAAAAAUAAAAAAAAUAAAUAACUUUAGCGACCCAAAGAAAAGAAGGAGAAAAGUCAGUUCGCUCUAUGGAGUACGACGGA